UAAAGAGUGACUCAUUAUAUGGUCUGAUGAGGAUAAGACAAUGGGGAACAGAUUAAAACUAAGAGGGGAGGCUGAGGUUGUAUGUUAGGAGGAAAUUCUUUACUCAGAGGGGGGUGAGGUACUGGUACAGGCUGCCCUGAGAGGUUGUGGGCACCCCAUCCCUGGAGCUGCUCAAGGCUGGGUCGAAUGGGGCCCUUCCCUACUAUCUGUCCUACUUCCUGUGAUUGAUGCCAUUUGCAGUCGGUGCGUUCCAUUCAACUCUUCUUUGUACCAGAAUAUGUUCAAUUUUCUCAUAUUCCACAGAUUUAGCUUAGGUAAGUGCAAAUCUUUGGAAUGGAAGGAGUGCACCUUUAAGAGCCAUGAGUAAAAACACCUUGCGUUUGAAUUAUGGAUUCAAAUUAAUUCAUUAAGAAUUAAGAUGGGGAAAACCAGUCUUAGCUGAUCUGCCACCUACAGGACCAGUACUUCUCAUUCCCAAGGAACCACUGAUUUUUCAUAUGUGAAUAUGUACCAACGCCCACAGAUAGCACCGUCGUAUUUGUACUAAGUGGAUAACCCCAUCCUUCUCAUCCUUGUAUUCUCUCUAUGUACACAGGUACAUGAGAAGGAGCAAUCAAGACCCUUGUUAACUGUGACUAUAUUAAUUAUUGCAGGGUGGCAUAAGAGACUGAGAGGUAAGAGGGCUGAUGUCCCAAAUGCUCCCUAGAAGGGUGAAAUGAGAGCACCACGCUAAGAAGAUAAGGGGCAGUAGGAGGAGAGGCCUACUGAAGUUGAGGAGUUCAUAAACAUGAAUCAGAGUUGGAAAAAGAACAGCAGUAGCCUCCAAAUCCCUGGCGUGCGGUGAAGGUAUGUGUGUUACACUCGAGUGAAAAAGAAACCAACCAACACAAUAUCAUUGAGUUUCAGAUCCUGAAUCAAGAAAACAAGGGUACAUGUUGUUGGUUAAUGCUUAUCCCCUAGUUAUUCUCUUAUGAACAGUAACUCAAACAUUAUUUUACUUUUUUUUUUUUUUUUUUUUUUGGUCCAAAAAGGCUGCUUACUGUCCCUUCCACAAAGCUGAUUCACCUGAGUGUAGAUGGGGCGUCUUAAUGUGUGUGGCCACGUUCUGACAGUGUCGUGGACAAUGAGACUUCAUUUAUGCGUGUUUUGUGUUUGUUAUGCAGAAGGUAAUUGCUUGCAACUGGG
RNAcentral lists this long non-coding RNA (1185 nucleotides) under Gallus gallus (chicken). RNAcentral describes it as "lncRNA (ENSGALG00010006002.1)". The record is from RNAcentral. Lineage: Eukaryota; Metazoa; Chordata; Aves; Galliformes; Phasianidae.